Molecule: ribosomal RNA, 589 nt
Filed under: uncultured bacterium
Lineage: Bacteria
Description: partial 16S ribosomal RNA
Rfam family: Bacterial small subunit ribosomal RNA
Source: RNAcentral
UGGGGAAUAUUGGACAAUGGGGGCAACCCUGAUCCAGCCAUGCCGCGUGUGUGAAGAAGGCCUUUUGGUUGUAAAGCACUUUAAGCAGGGAGGAGAGGCUAAUGGUUAAUACCCAUUAGAUUAGACGUUACCUGCAGAAUAAGCACCGGCUAACUCUGUGCCAGCAGCCGCGGUAAUACAGAGGGUGCGAGCGUUAAUCGGAAUUACUGGGCGUAAAGCGAGUGUAGGUGGCUCAUUAAGUCACAUGUGAAAUCCCCGGGGCUUAACCUGGGAACUGCAUGUGAUACUGGUGGUGCUAGAAUAUGUGAGAGGGAAGUAGAAUUCCCAGGUGUAGCGGUGAAAUGCGUAGAGAUCUGGAGGAAUACCGAUGGCGAAGGCAGCUUCCUGGCAUAAUAUUGACACUGAGAUUCGAAAGCGUGGGUAGCAAACAGGAUUAGAUACCCUGGUAGUCCACGCCGUAAACGAUGUCUACUAGCCGUUGGGGUCCUUGAGACUUUAGUGGCGCAGUUAACGCGAUAAGUNGACCGCCUGGGGGAGUACGGCCGCAAGGUUAAAACUCAAAGGAAUUGACGGGGUCUAGCUGUUUCCU